UACGUAGGGAGCAAGCGUUGUCCGGAAUCAUUGGGCGUAAAGCGCGCGUAGGUGGUCCCGUAAGUCCGCUGUGAAAGUCAAAGGCUCAACCUUUGAAAGCCGGUGGAUACUGUGGGACUAGAUGUACGGAAGAGGCGAGUGGAAUUCCUGGUGUAGCGGUGGAAUGCGCAGAGUAAUCAGGAGGAACACCGGUCGGCGAAGGCGGGUCUCUGGGCCGGUA
RNAcentral lists this ribosomal RNA (220 nucleotides) under uncultured bacterium. Its description in RNAcentral is "partial 16S ribosomal RNA". It matches the Rfam family "Bacterial small subunit ribosomal RNA", at positions 524 to 739 of the family's 1533-position model. The record is from RNAcentral.